Calliphora vicina (urban bluebottle blowfly) is the source of this 1441-nucleotide long non-coding RNA. RefSeq lists it as uncharacterized. Lineage: Eukaryota; Metazoa; Arthropoda; Insecta; Diptera; Calliphoridae. The transcript is spliced from 2 exons. The record is from RefSeq and is a predicted model, not a curated record.
UAAACAAAAUAAAUGCGAAUUAAAAUUGUAGUUUGAAGUUGUUUGUUUUGAUUCGUUUAGGAUAUGAAAAUAAUUUGAAAUUUAAAAUAUUUAAGUAAGGAAAAGCACGUUGACCUCGGCUUCUAAACAAAUGAGUUCCAUAGCACAAUAAAAACUUAUUAACUUGUUAAAAUUUAAAACAGUGAUUGCAAGAAUCGUUUCCCGGCCUGUGGCUGCAUACCCGAAUGCAAUACUAGACAGAGUCUUAUUUGGCAGUAAGUGAAUGCGAUGCGGAUUUGUGUCAAGCAUUUUGAAGUAUUGGAAGCAUUAGAUCCACAAAAUCCCACAUCACGUAUAGAAACUCCGACGCCUCAUAAAGUAGCUGUGUUAAUUUUAGUGCAAGGCCAAAAAGGCAGCCAACGAUGCCGGCAUACCAUAUCCCGCCCAAUCGCGACACAAUAUUUGCAUGCUAACUAACAUUUUUAAUUAAUAGUAUUUCCAUGAUUUAUUUAAUCAGAUAAACAUUUGCUAAUGGCUCUAUCGGUUGUGUCCAGUCGUGGUAUAUUAGUUAAAGGGGGGUCAGACGGCAUGUAUUGCUUGUGUUUUGUGCCAUGUAUUGGGACAUUUUUCCAUAUGUAAACAUGUACAUACCGUGUGAUCCAUAUGAAACUUUGUGUAUGUAAAAUACAUGUGUAUUACUCGUGACAUUUUUUACAAUUAGAGCAUGUUCUAUUUUCGUGUGUAUAACAGUGUUGUAUUUUGAAAUACAACACUGUGUGAGUGCAAAAUAAAAAAACAAAACAAAAAAUAGUAAAGAAAAAUCAACAAAAUAAAUUUCAUUGCAUUAAAUAUAUGUAUUGUGAUUUAAAAAUGUUUUAAAUAAAUAUAUUGUUAAAAACAACAAACAUAUAAACUAAUAGAGGUUAUGUCACAUGCAAUUACAUAUGUACGUUUGAUCGUGGAAAUUAUGAAUCGUAUGUAUAACGUGAAUUUUGACAUACACAUGGAAUUCCAUAUGUAUCGAAUACAUGUCGCAAUACACAAGCAAUACAUGCCGUCUGACCCCCCUAUUAAGGAGAGUGCUCUGAAGAAUGUGGUGAAAUUAUAUUACAAGAUUAAGCUGUUCGACUUGGUAAAGUCUAUGGCAAGUACAUGAGCUCUUUACUGUUGAAUUUAAAUAAUGAUUUUGUUGUGGAUGCUACACGUAAAGGAAAUAAAAUACGUUUUGACAAUCAUUACAUCAAUCCCAACUGUUAUGCUAAAGUAAUGAAGAUCACUAUUCAACCGGGCUAGGAAUUGUAAUUUGACUACAGAUAUGGUCCCACAGAACAAUAAGAAUUUGUGAAAUGGUGAAAUGCAAAUUGUUUAAGUUUUUUUUUGGAAAUUUUAUUUUUAUUUCAUAUUUGAUUGUACGCUGAAUUUAGCUUAAAAAUAUUGAAUAAAACUUUACGAAAAUUAAAAA